GAUGAAGAACGUAGCGAAAUGCGAUAAGUAGUGUGAAUUGCAGAAUUCCGUGAAUCAUCGAAUCUUUGAACGCACAUUGCGCCUCCUGGUACUCCGGGGGGCAUGCCUGUCCGAGCGUCAUUGCUGCCCUCAAGCACGGCUUGUGUGUUGGGCCUCCGUCCUCCUCCCGGGGGACGGGCCCGAAAGGCAGCGGCGGCACCGCGUCCGGUCCUCGAGCGUAUGGGGCUUCGUCACCCGCUCUUGUAGGCCCGGCCGGCGCUUGCCGACACAUCAAUCUUUUUUCCAGGUUGACCUCGGAUCAGGUAGGGAUACCCGCUGAACUUAAGCAUAUCAAUAAGCGGAGGA
RNAcentral lists this unclassified non-coding RNA (345 nucleotides) under soil metagenome. RNAcentral describes it as "partial contains 5.8S ribosomal RNA, internal transcribed spacer 2, and large subunit ribosomal RNA". The stretch from base 1 to 120 matches the Rfam family "5.8S ribosomal RNA", at positions 35 to 154 of the family's 154-position model. The record is from RNAcentral.